This 329-nucleotide unclassified non-coding RNA is filed under the name soil metagenome. RNAcentral's name for it is "partial contains 5.8S ribosomal RNA, internal transcribed spacer 2, and large subunit ribosomal RNA". The stretch from base 1 to 120 matches the Rfam family "5.8S ribosomal RNA", at positions 35 to 154 of the family's 154-position model. The record is from RNAcentral.
GAUGAAGAACGUAGCGAAAUGCGAUAAGUAAUGUGAAUUGCAGAAUUCAGUGAAUCAUCGAAUCUUUGAACGCACAUUGCGCACUCUGGUAUUCCGGGGGGCAUGCCUGUUCGAGCGUCAUUAUAACCACUCAAGCUCUCGCUUGGUAUUGGAGUUCGCGAUCUCGCGGCUCCUAAAAUCAGUGGCGGUGCCUGUCGGCUCUACGCGUAGUAAUACUCCUCGCGAUUGAGUCCGGUAGGUUUACUUGCCAGCAACCCCCAAUUUUUACAGGUUGACCUCGGAUCAGGUAGGAAUACCCGCUGAACUUAAGCAUAUCAAUAAGCGGAGGA